This 920-nucleotide long non-coding RNA is filed under the name Homo sapiens (human). Its description in RNAcentral is "HSALNT0387736". The record is from RNAcentral. Lineage: Eukaryota; Metazoa; Chordata; Mammalia; Primates; Hominidae.
GCUGGGUCCCUCUGGAAAUGGCUGCCGUGUCACCCCACGUAAUGCCUUCUCCUGGGAGCAGCUGCAUGGAAAGACUGGUCCUCAUGUUUCCAUUCAGGACACCCACAGAGGGUCUCUCUUCUUUGUGGGUGAGGCCCCAACAGUGAGACCUCAACAGUGAGACAGCUGAGGCCUCUGCUGCAACCACAUUGCAGCCCAGUGGCUCCCCCUGUCCAGGCCCACUUUCCACACCCCUGCAGGUGUUGCUCCAAGGAGCCUCUGCACCUCCUCCCAGACUCAGAUCUGUUUCCUGGGACCCAGGCAUGAGGCUUCUCCCCGGCAGCCUCCGAUGUCACGUGGAUCAGGCAAAGCUGGGCAUCUGUGUCCACGCUGUCUCCUCUCCAGGAUCAGGAGGUGCUGAGCAUCUGUGUCCACGCUGUCUCCUCUCCAGGAUCAGGAGGUGCUGAGCAUCUGUGUCCACGCUGUCUCCUCUCCAGGAUCAGGAGGUGCUGAGCGUCUGUGUCCACGCUGUCUCCUCUCCGGGAUCAGGAGGUGCUGAGCGUCUGUGUCCACGCUGUCUCCUCUCCGGGAUCAGGAGGUGCUGAGCGUCUGUGUCCACGCUGUCUCCUCUCCGGGAUCAGGAGGUGCUGUGCGUCUGUGUCCACGCUGUCUCUUCUCCGGGAUCAGGAGGUGCUGAGCGUCUGUGUCCACGCUGUCUCCUCCCUGGGAUCAGGGGCUUUGCCAGCUUGCUCACCUUUGGCCCCUGGGCACAUGAUGGACUCUUACCAAAUGUUAGUUGAGUAAAUGUGAGUGGGUGGCACAGGAGGAGUCAGGCUAGGUGGCCAUCUGUGUGGGAGAUUCGAGAAAACUCUUCCUGCAAACAGCCUCCCAGAAACUAGCACCAGAAUGCCUGGGCCUCACCAUUGGUGACUCCUUUUUCC